CCUACGGGAGGCAGCAGUGGGGAAUAUUGCACAAUGGGGGGAACCCUGAUGCAGCGACGCCGCGUGAGUGAAGAAGUAUUUCGGUAUGUAAAGCUCUAUCAGCAGGGAAGAAAAUGACGGUACCUGACUAAGAAGCCCCGGCUAACUACGUGCCAGCAGCCGCGGUAAUACGUAGGGGGCGAGCGUUAUCCGGAUUUACUGGGUGUAAAGGGAGCGUAGACGGUUAUGCAAGUCUGAAGUGAAAGCCCACGGCUCAACCAUGGGACUGCUUUGGAAACUGUAAAACUGGAGUGCAGGAGAGGUAAGCGGAAUUCCUAGUGUAGCGGUGAAAUGCGUAGAUAUUAGGAGGAACACCAGUGGCGAAGGCGGCUUACUGGACUGUAACUGACGUUGAGGCUCGAAGGCGUGGGGAGCAAACAGGAUUAGAUACCCGAGUAGUC
Molecule: ribosomal RNA, 440 nt
Filed under: uncultured bacterium
Lineage: Bacteria
Description: partial 16S ribosomal RNA
Rfam family: Bacterial small subunit ribosomal RNA
Source: RNAcentral